CCCUGUACUGCUCGAGUGGAGCAGAGCGCAUCGCUCCAGCGUGCGUUGAUCGCGUCCGCCCAAGUCGGCCUGCUGCUGUUGUUGACCUAGGCGCCAAGGCCAAGCUGCCUCUGCUCCAGCCCAACACCGAGCCGGCCCAAGUGUCGUGGUGAGAAACCAAGUCCACUCGAGAUUCAGCCCCUUGUGUUUUUUUACUCCACCUGCGAUUUUCACAUUUAUCCAGAGAACGCCUAUUUUGCAGAAAAACCCUUCUAGUUCAUGCAUUUAAUAACUCUUCAACCAUGCAUCAGUUUAAAAUGAUUUAAAUAUGUAAAAUACUUAGAAUUUCAUUUACUUUCACAAUUUGCAACUUUCAUCCAUGCUUAAAAUGUUAACUUGUUGUUUGAAUUAAUUUGCAUAAAUAACAUGCUAAAAUGGUUUAUUUCAUAACUAUUUAACCGUAGCUCGGUUUUUAAUAAACUUUAUAUGUAAAUGGGGUAGAAAAAUGCAUAGAUUAACAUGGUGGCAUUACUUUUCAUGUUUAACAACAAUAAAACAUGGUUUAGGGCAGAACAGUACCACAUUCUAAAUAUGCACAUGGGGAUUUUCCGGAAUUGUUGUUUUUUGUUCCGGCCUCAUUUAAACUUGCCUAGAUAGGUAGUUUUAUUAUGUUUUACCUCAUGCCAUGUUAACCAACAUUUAAUCUUGUCUUGUUCAUAAAAAAAGAGUGAACUAAAUAAUUGAACGUGGCGUUUCGUCAAUAUGCAACUCGGUGCAUAUUGAGCUCCACUUAAUUUGUAGUGUUUUUUGUUGCACUUUGCCAUGCCAUGAAUCAUUAAACUGGACAUGCAUCAUACUUGGUUGUGCAUCAUGUCAUGUGUAUGUGAUGGUUGUUUACCAUGAUGUUUGCUUCUUUCCGGUUGCGCUUCUCCUUGAUAGUUCCGGUUAUGUUGCGAUUGUGAGGAUCCGUUCGACUAUGUUGGUUCGUUUACUUCAUGGACUCGGUCUUCUUCCUAGCGGGAUUUCAGGCAAGAUGACCGUUACCCUGGACCUCACUACUAUCAUUGCUAUGCUAGUUGUCUCGAUGCUAUCGCUAUGUUGCUCUUCCUACCACUUGUUUAUCAAGCCUCCAAAUUUCCAUGACCGCCUAUAACCUUUUUCACCCUUCAUAGCAAACCAUUGUUUGGCUAUGUUACCGCUUUGCUCAGACCCUCUUAUAGCGUUGCUAGUUGCAGGUUGUUCCAUGUUGGGACAUGGAUAUCUUGGGAUAUCAUAAUAUCUCUUAUUCAAUUAAUGCAUAUAUAUAUACUUGGUAAAGGGUGGAAGGCUCGGCAUUUUGCCCGGUGUUUCCACUCUUGCCGCCCUAGUUUCCAUCAUACCGGUGUUAUAUUCCUUGAUUUUGCGUCCCUAACACGAUGAGGGUUUAUGGGCCCCUUUUGACAAUUAUCUUUGAAUAAAACUCUUCCAGCAAGGCCCAACAUUGGUUUUAUCAUUUGCCUCAUAAUAACUUGCAUAGGGGAUAUUUCUCCAGACCCCGAGUAAUUUUAAUCAACCCACCUGGGCCAGUGCUCCUCUAAGUGUUGGUCCGGACCGAGGAGCCUGCAGGGCCACCUGGGGGAAACUCGAGGGCUGGUUUUACUCGUAGCUUGUCUCAUCCAUGGUGCCCUGAGAACGAGAUACGUGCGGCUCCAAUCAGGAUUUGUCGGAACACUGGGAGGUCUUACUGGUUUUGUUUUACCAUUGUCAAAAUGUCUUGUGCACCAAGAUCCCGAGUCUGAUCGGAUGUCCCGCAGUAGAGGAUUGUCUCGCGGAUCAUGAGCUUGUCAUGGGCUAAGUUGGGACAUCCCCGUAGGGUUUGAUCUUUCGAAAGUCGUGCCCGCGGAUAUGUGGCAGAUGGGGGUUUUAAAUAUCCAGUUGUAGCGAACUUGACACCAGAUUCGAACUAAAAUACCCAACCGCGUGUGUAACCGUGAUGGUCUCUUUUCGAGUGGGUCGAGAAGAGAACACGGUGGGGUUAUGUUUUUGACGUAAAUAGUUCGGGAUCACUUCUUGUUCAUUACUAGUUUGCGACCGUUUACGUAGCUUCUCAUCUCAUUCUUGUAUUCGUAAGUUAGUCACCAUACAUUGCUUAGUUGCUUGCUGCAACCUCACCACUUUACCCCUUCCAUACCCAUUAAGCUUUGCUAGUCUUGAUACCCAUGGUAAUGGGAUUGCUGAGUCCUGGUGGCUCACAGAUUACUACAACAAUAGUUGCAGGUACAGGUAAUGCGAUGCUCUGACGCGAGUGCGAUGCUUGAUUCCUUUUGGAGUACUUAUUCUUCGAUCAAGGGAAAUAGGUUCCAGGUCGGGGAGCCUGGGUUAGCAUGGUGGAUGUCGUUCUUCUUUUUCGUUUGAUUUCAUCCGUAGUCAGAUCCUGCUCUUCUACAUGAUGAAUGCUAUGUAUUGAUGUAUUGUUGUAUGAAUGUUGUAACUUGUGGCGAGUAUAAGCCUUUAUCUCGUAUUCCCAUCUAUUCAGUACAUGGUAUGUUGUAAUUGUUGGGUAACGCAGUAAUUUCAAAAAAAUUCCUACGCA
Molecule: long non-coding RNA, 2551 nt
Filed under: Triticum aestivum (bread wheat)
Lineage: Eukaryota; Viridiplantae; Streptophyta; Magnoliopsida; Poales; Poaceae
Description: long non-coding RNA (TAES_LNC027284)
Source: RNAcentral